Molecule: long non-coding RNA, 734 nt
Filed under: Calidris pugnax (ruff)
Lineage: Eukaryota; Metazoa; Chordata; Aves; Charadriiformes; Scolopacidae
Description: lncRNA (ENSCPUG00000018925.1)
Source: RNAcentral
CACUAAUAGCAAUACCUAUUACAUAAUGCCUUAAAACAUAUACCUACUUUGAGGUAAUAAACCUCACAAUCAGUCACUGCGGCAAAGAGUGAUAAAGCAUUAUCUUUUUACUCUCUUUUCACAGGCGUAGGGGUAUAUGAGCCGAGGUAAAAGAGUUUACUAGAGGUCAAUUGAGAGAUAUUAUGAGAACUGGUGUUAAAAGUAGGGUUUUCCAGUUCUGUUUGUAUGCUUAGGGCUCUUGAUAUUGCUGCUUCAUUGGUCCUUUUACUCUAAUAUAAAUGAAUGUGUUAUGACAAGAAUGUUAAAGAACAAAAUUUCCGAAAGAUUAUUGUGUAAUUAUUUCUGUGUCAUGCUACCUGUAAGAUGAAUGAUUUAUCUUCUCUUGGUAGAUGAGUGCACAUCAGCAUUAGUGUGUUGCACACAGAAUCAGAGAGAGGAAGUUUUGUCCUUUAAAGUUUUAUUUAAAGAGGAGAAAUGAGCGCGCUUUACAGCAAACACCUUUUCCUAAUGCACUUAAUAAUUCUAUGUUUCAGAGCAGUGUAUGGCUAGUGACCUGUCUUCCCGAGGAGAAUGGCCAAGAUGUCUGUUUGGAAUUAUUCCUGGGAUUAGACCAGCAUGAGGUCUCCUCUACCAAUCUGAGGGGAAAUGGAGUUUUUGAACUGACUCUCAACACUUGAUGCACAUUUGGCCGGAGGCCAAGGUGAAUCAGAAUAAACAUCCAGAAGAAAAUGCCA